This 1120-nucleotide ribosomal RNA is filed under the name Salmonella enterica. RNAcentral describes it as "partial 23S ribosomal RNA". It matches the Rfam family "Bacterial large subunit ribosomal RNA", at positions 711 to 1746 of the family's 2925-position model. Lineage: Bacteria; Pseudomonadati; Pseudomonadota; Gammaproteobacteria; Enterobacterales; Enterobacteriaceae. RNAcentral also lists the same sequence under 1 other name. The record is from RNAcentral.
AGACCCGAAACCCGGUGAUCUAGCCAUGGGCAGGUUGAAGGUUGGGUAACACUAACUGGAGGACCGAACCGACUAAUGUUGAAAAAUUAGCGGAUGACCUGUGGCUGGGGGUGAAAGGCCAAUCAAACCGGGAGAUAGCUGGUUCUCCCCGAAAGCUAUUUAGGUAGCGCCUCGUGAAUUCAUCUCCGGGGGUAGAGCACUGUUUCGGCCAGGGGGCCAUCCCGGCUUACCAAUCCGAUGCAAACUGCGAAUACCGGAGAAUGUUAUCACGGGAGACACACGGCGGGUGCUAACGUCCGUCGUGAAGAGGGAAACAACCCAGACCGCCAGCUAAGGUCCCAAAGUCAUGGUUAAGUGGGAAACGAUGUGGGAAGGCCCAGACAGCCAGGAUGUUGGCUUAGAAGCAGCCAUCAUUUAAAGAAAGCGUAAUAGCUCACUGGUCGAGUCGGCCUGCGCGGAAGAUGUAACGGGGCUAAACCAUGCACCGAAGCUGCGGCAGCGAACGUAUCACCCAAGACAACUUUGCACAGUUGACGAUUGACGGAGCGAAGCGACGUCAAAGCGUUUUACAACGUCGAGUUGGCUUAGGGAUACGUUCGUUGGGUAGGGGAGCGUUCUGUAAGCCGUUGAAGGUGUGUCGUGAGGCAUGCUGGAGGUAUCAGAAGUGCGAAUGCUGACAUAAGUAACGAUAAAGCGGGUGAAAAGCCCGCUCGCCGGAAGACCAAGGGUUCCUGUCCAACGUUAAUCGGGGCAGGGUGAGUCGACCCCUAAGGCGAGGCCGAAAGGCGUAGUCGAUGGGAAACGGGUUAAUAUUCCCGUACUUGGUGUUACUGCGAAGGGGGGACGGAGAAGGCUAUGUUGGCCGGGCGACGGUUGUCCCGGUUUAAGCGUGUAGGCUGACUUUCCAGGCAAAUCCGGAGAGUCAAGGCUGAGGCGUGACGACGAGGCACCACGGUGCUGAAGCAACAAAUGCCCUGCUUCCAGGAAAAGCCUCUAAGCCUCAGGUAACAUCAAAUCGUACCCCAAACCGACACAGGUGGUCAGGUAGAGAAUACCAAGGCGCUUGAGAGAACUCGGGUGAAGGAACUAGGCAAAAUGGUGCCGUAACUUCGGGAGAAGG